UGGGGAAUAUUGCGCAAUGGGGGGAACCCUGACGCAGCCAUGCCCGCGUGAAUGAAGAAGGCCUUAGGGUUGUAAAGUUCUUUCGGUAUUGAGGAAGGUUGAUGUGUUAAUAGCACAUCAAAUUGACGUUAAAUACAGAAGAAGCACCGGCUAACUCCGUGCCAGCAGCCGCGGUAAUACGGAGGGUGCGAGCGUUAAUCGGAAUAACUGGGCGUAAAGGACAAGCAGGCGGUUAUUUAAGUGAGGUGUGAAAGCCCCGGGCUUAACCUGGGAAUUGCAUUUCAGACUGGGUAACUAGAGUACUUUAGGGAGGGGUAGAAUUCCACGUGUAGCGGUGAAAUGCGUAGAGAUGUGGAGGAAUACCGAAGGCGAAGGCAGCCCCUUGGGAAUGUACUGACGCUCAUGUGCGAAAGCGUGGGGAGCAAACAGGAUUAGAUACCCUGGUAGUCCACGCUGUAAACGCUGUCGAUUUGGGGGUUGNNUUUAACUCUGGCGCCCGUAGCUAACGUGAUAAAUCGACCGCCUGGGGAGUACGGCCGCAAGGUUA
RNAcentral lists this ribosomal RNA (547 nucleotides) under uncultured bacterium. Its description in RNAcentral is "bacterial SSU rRNA". It matches the Rfam family "Bacterial small subunit ribosomal RNA", at positions 355 to 896 of the family's 1533-position model. The record is from RNAcentral.